Molecule: long non-coding RNA, 3000 nt
Organism: Oncorhynchus mykiss (rainbow trout)
Lineage: Eukaryota; Metazoa; Chordata; Actinopteri; Salmoniformes; Salmonidae
Source: RefSeq, a predicted model, not a curated record
CUCAGUUUAGGUGGUCUCGAACACAACACUACCACUAAGACCCUCACGAACUCUACAGCUGCACCAUUAGAGCAUUCUGUCAGGCUGCAUCACCGCCUGGUACGGCAAUUGAUCUGCCCUCAACCGCACAGCUCUCCAGAGGGUGGUGCAGGCAGCCCAACGCAUCACAAUGCUGCCUGCCCUCCUGGACAUCUACAGCACAUGGUGUCAAAGGAAGGCCAAGAAGAUCAUUAAGGACCUCAGCCACCCGACUGUCCCGAGCCACUGACUGUUCACUCAGCUAUCGCCCAACAGAGACAGGACAGCUGCAUCUUAGCUCAGACCGAGAGGCUAAAAAACAGCUUGUAUUACCAGGCCAUCACUGUUGAACAGCUAUCGCUAGCCGUCUACCAGGUAACGUUAUAGGUAUUCACGUAUUCAGAUGUUCCUGAGUACUGGACAGACCAUAUUUUCCAGAAUACAUUGACAAGGAUCACUUUCGCUACAACAGAACAGAAACAUCAGGCUACGGGUCCUAUUGGAGGGCCCCUGAUAUCCGUAAGCUAACAUUGCCUUUUGGAAUCCCUGCUACUGUGGCUGAGCUUGGCACAAUUGUGCAAGAGACAUUUCAGCUUCAAAAAUAAUUUGUUCUACAAUACAUGGAGAGUGCAUAUGGAGAUCAGUUAUUUUCUUUGCUUGAUACUGAAGACCUAAAGGAUAAAGACACCAUCAAAGUGGUUGACCUUGACGGCCCACCUCUUAUUACUUUAAAUGUACAAGAACUCAAUAACAUCUCCACAGAUACAUCAGAUGAGAGGUGCUGCCUUGGAUCACGUGAUACUGUGAUAUUGUCCUCUCCAGAAAGUACCUCUUCCCAACGCUCCAGUCCGUGGCCAUCUGAGUUUGAAGUUCCUCGCUUUGCUUAUGAUACAGAGCUCAUUCUUGAGGCAGCUAAUGAAGCACACAUGAAGGAUGGAACACUACUCAACAAUCUGCCUGUGAAAUCAGACAUCCUGGAAAAACUGUCUGAAAGGAUCUUCCAGUUUAGAGCCUAUCCGUCAAGUCUACAAAUUUGGCAGGUUGCAGAAGCUUUGGUAAAAAAAACACCCAUGUCUUAAAGAGCUUGGGUCCUUCUCAGGCCUGUACGGAUGGCAAACCAGCCGAAAGUACAAGAUGGGCAAUUACAGAUCGAAACUGAGAGGAAUUGGUUGCCUAGAACUGGAAGUGAACUCUGUCAAGAGAAAAUCACCAGAGGACAAGCCCGUUGCCAAGAACAUAAACAAAACAAAGAAGGCGGAGGUAAAUGACCUCCCACCCCACCCUGCUGGAGAAACAGAUGAGACCCUGGAGAGGGAGCGAGUGGAGCUACUGGGAGAAGUACAAAUACGUGACAACCACAACAUUGUGAGUGCCAAAAUGGCAAGGACCUUCUCAUAUCGAAGACAAGAUGUCAUUCAGGCCCUUCCUGUGAAGGACUUCAAAGAUAGCUGGCCAGCCUUGUUUGAACCCAUUCAGAUUAAGGAAGACUUGAGAAGAAUUACAACUGUUGCUCUUGAGUCCACCUUUAUCCAGAAGCUGGACAAAUAUACACCAAAACUAUUGGACUUGUUUAAGACAAAAGGAGGUGCUGUAAAGGAGGACAUGCAGAAAAUCCUUGAAGUUCUGUAUGGGUGCAACACCAGCCAGGAAAGUGUAAUCCGUGGCCUGAUCAUAUACCUCGGUGAGAGGGUUGAAGAACUUAUCACAGAAUACAAGGUAAAGGUUUUUAUUUUUGUAUCCUUAUUUAUCUCUAAAUUAGAUCUUCCCUCUCUCUCCUCUCAAGUUGCACAGUUAAUCUAGUAGCCUAGUCUGUUAUUUCUUAUUUUCUUUCACCCCGGAUGCUGACGACACCAUGAUCCGAGAGAACCUUGUUCAGCAUGUGAUGAAGGUGUUCACUGUGAAGGAUCUGUACCAGAAUAUAGAGCAUGGGAUCUGCACCAGAAUACAGAGCAUGGGAUCUGCAUCGAAGGAGCAGAGGAGAGGAGGUCCUGGCUGGCCUCAUCUAUGGCUUAAAUCUAAAGUACCCCAAAGAACUGAAGUAUACCUUUGAGGUGUUCCAAAAACUAUUCUUGGAACUUGAUGAUCUCAGGACCUCCCCACGCGUCCAAGCUCUAAAGAUGAAGUUACUUGUUUUCAGAGAUAUCUAAAGAUACCAAUGAGAACUCUCAAAGGGCCACUCAAACUGUGGUCUAAACCCUACUCAGUAAGCUGAAAAGCUAGUUGCUAGGUGGUAUAAGCGCUACAGUUCCCAUGAUGCUCUUUGUCAGGUGAAGUCAUAAAAUACAUUGUCAAUUCCUGUUUAAAAAAACAGCUUUGUUUUAAAACUUAGUCCAUAUGCACUAGUGGAUAUCUGAGAUUAUUUGUCAGGUGCAAGCUAUAUGGAUGUAACUUUACCUAAGGAGGCAUGGUGGAGUUAUUCCCAGAAUGCUUAUACCUGUCAAAAAUAUGUCCAUAUGGGCUUCACUAGUGCAUAUAGAGUCAGGUUUAAGGGAGAAUUUGGCAUAUAUUUUGUAACAAUAUGUGCAAUGUAUGUUUUGAAAACCCAUGUUUUGAUUAAUAUAAAACCGUUUGAAUGAGGUUGUAUUUGAGCUAAAGUUCAUAUUGUGCUUUGUGUAAAGUCUAUUAAGACAAAUCGUUAAUUUAUGUUUGUUAAAAUAUUUCUUUGUUGUUAAGGGGUACACAGACCACCAGAAAUGUUUUGCCAAACUGUACAAGAUGUGAGGUCAAAGUGCUAAUCCCAAACUAUCACCUAAACCUUAUGCAGUUGUGAAGAUUUAAAAGUAUUUGUAGUCAGGUGCAAGCUAUCUGGAUGUAACUUUGCCUAAUGAGGCAAGGUGUAGUUGUACUCAGAUUGCUUACAGAUGACAAAAUAUGAUUGCCUAAAAAGUAGGGUUUAAGGGACAAUUUGAGAUUGAAGUUUGAAAAAAUUAUAAAAUGAUAACAUUUAUUUUAUUCAAAAUAAAGGUGUGGAAGUUUGAAGUU